Pocillopora damicornis (cauliflower coral) is the source of this 728-nucleotide long non-coding RNA. RefSeq lists it as uncharacterized. NCBI's taxonomy places the organism in Eukaryota, Metazoa, Cnidaria, Anthozoa, Scleractinia, Pocilloporidae. The record is from RefSeq and is a predicted model, not a curated record.
CGUGUCCCUUUCAGAUCACUAGAAGAUUUCCUUCUGGACCGAGUAGCGACUAAAGACUACAGAACCACAACCUCUCUUCCCCAAUCCCCAGCAGUAUUUUUAAAAUGAAGAUCCAAGCUUUCGUGCUCGUCGCCGCUUUGUUGUUCUUUUCCGCUCUUAUUCAGGAUUGUGAAGGAAUAGGGAUAUUUCCACCUGGGAAAGGAAAACGAGCGGUCCAAAGAAAAGUUCAAGUGACAGCACGGAGUAUUUGUGAGGCAGCUAGAAGCUUGAACUGCGAUGGGAUGGAUCUUGACGGCUGACUCAAGAAGAAAUCUCUCUCAAGUCGCGAAAUAUUCCACUAAUAUAAGUAAAAGACGUGAACCUGACUCAGCAACAGAACACGUAUGUUAAAAAGGAAAGUAAAUUCAUGGAAUAAGGGAGCGGCAAAUAUAUAUAUAUAUAAAAAACAUUUAUUCAGAGACUUGUGUUUGGUUCAUAUCAUUGACUUGACACUAGCGCCAUAAGAGUUCAAUGAAAAUAAGAAUUCCACCUUUAUUUGCCUUUCAACUAAAGCCCCUUACGAUUUAAAUAAGUUUUGACGAUGAAGUGAAAUAAGAACCUUUAACCAUAGCUCCCUAAUUUAAUGGAACCAGAGACUUGCUAUUCGUGAGACUUAAACCAAUUUUUUUUUCAUAGAAAUCCGAGACCAACACAACUGAGAAAAUUCAUUAAACGAUCAUUGGAAAGUA